Molecule: ribosomal RNA, 253 nt
Filed under: uncultured bacterium
Lineage: Bacteria
Description: partial 16S ribosomal RNA
Rfam family: Bacterial small subunit ribosomal RNA
Source: RNAcentral
UACGUAGGGUGCGAGCGUUGUCCGGAAUUACUGGGCGUAAAGAGCUCGUAGGCGGCUUGUCGCGUUGUUCGUGAAAAUUUACCGCUCAACGGUGAACUUGCGGGCGAUACGGGCAGGCUAGAGUACUGCAGGGGAGACUGGAAUUCCUGGUGUAGCGGUGAAAUGCGCAGAUAUCAGGAAGAACACCGGUGGCGAAGGCGGGUCUCUGGGCAGUAACUGACGCUGAGGCGCGAAAGCGUGGGGAGCAAACAGG